AACUGGGAUUAGAUACCCCACUAUGCCUAGCCGUAAACAUUGAUAGUGCAUUACAUCUGCUAUCCGCCCGGGUACUACGAGCAUCAGCUUAAAACCCAAAGGACUUGGCGGUGCUUUAGAUCCACCUAGAGGAGCCUGUUCUAGAACCGAUAAUCCCCGUUAAACCUCACCUUUCCUUGUUUUCCCAGCCUAUAUACCGCCGUCGUCAGCUUACCCUGCGAAGGACCAACAGUAAGCAAAAUUGGCACAGCCCAGAACGCCAGGUCGAGGUGUAGCCUAUGGAAAGGGAAGAAAUGGGCUACAUUCAAUAUUACAAUGAAUACGAAUGGGGGGUUGAAACACCCCCCUGAAGGAGGAUUUAGCAGUAAGCAGGAAAUAGAGAGUCCCGCUGAAAUUGGCCCUGAAGCGCGUACACACCGCCCGUCACUCUCCC
RNAcentral lists this ribosomal RNA (433 nucleotides) under Symphodus trutta. Its description in RNAcentral is "Centrolabrus trutta partial 12S ribosomal RNA". It matches the Rfam family "Bacterial small subunit ribosomal RNA", at positions 770 to 1406 of the family's 1533-position model. The record is from RNAcentral. RNAcentral also lists the same sequence under 1 other name. Lineage: Eukaryota; Metazoa; Chordata; Actinopteri; Labriformes; Labridae.